CCUUCCUACAACGGUGUGCUUUUGGUUCCUUGUCUUUGCACACAUAAGAAUUGGAGGCAAAAAAAAAAAAUAAUUGUGGAUUUGGGGAUAUCUGGGACCAGCUUGCUCCCUGCAGGCUCAAGAUCAACCAUCUCACAUAA
Molecule: small nucleolar RNA, 140 nt
Organism: Cavia porcellus (domestic guinea pig)
Lineage: Eukaryota; Metazoa; Chordata; Mammalia; Rodentia; Caviidae
Product: small nucleolar RNA SNORA38
Source: Ensembl